CACCGCGGUUAAACGAGAGGCCCUAGUUGAUAAUCUGACGGCGUAAAGAGUGGUUAGGGUAAAAAAAGAAUAAAGCCAAAUGCCCCCUUGGCCGUUAUACGCUUCUGGAGGCCCGAAGCCCUAGUAUACGAAAGUGGCUUUAGUUGAAUUCACCCGACCCCACGAAAGCUAAGAAA
Molecule: ribosomal RNA, 176 nt
Filed under: Enteromius anoplus (chubbyhead barb)
Lineage: Eukaryota; Metazoa; Chordata; Actinopteri; Cypriniformes; Cyprinidae
Description: partial 12S rRNA
Source: RNAcentral